AAAAAAAUACCAACCUUAAUCAUUUGUAUAAUUAAUUAGUUAUGCGUGUAAAUCACAAGGAGUGAAAAUUCUGUAAAAUCACCAACAAACUACUCACAGUUUGAUUCUGCUGUAUAGACGGAUUGCUCCCAGUGUCUCCCUGUCUCCCAGUGUCUCAGUCUCGCAAGUCACCCAGUGUCUCAGUGUCCCUAUGUAUCACAGUGUCAGUGUCCCCAUGUCACCCAGUCCCCUAGUCUCCCAGUGUCUGUGUCCCCAUUUCUCCCAGUGUCCCAAUGUCUCAGUGUGUCCCCAUGUCACUAGGAUACUGGGGACACUGAGAGACAUGGGGACACUGAGAGACCCGGGGACACAGAGACAUGGGGACACUGGGAGACAUGGGGACACUGAGACAUUUAGGGAAACUGGGAGAAAUGGGGACACUGAGACACUAGGGACACAGACACUGGGAGACAUGGGGACACUGAAACAUUUGGGGACACUAAGACACUAGGAGACUAGGGGAAACUGUCUGGGAGACAGAUACUUGGGGAGACAUGGGGACAGUUGUGGGCAUAGACAUGGGGACAUUGGGACACAUGGGGACACUAGGCACACAGAGACAUGGGACACAGACACUGGGAGACUUAGGGACACUGAGACACUAGGGACACUGGCUGGGGGACAUAGUGUCUCCGUGUCCCAAUGUCUCCCAAUGUCCCUAUGUCUCACAGCGUCCCCAUGUGUCUCAGCAUCCCCAGGUGUCCCCUAGUGUCUCAGUGUCCCCAUGUUUUCCAGUGUCCCCAAGUGUCUGUGUCCCCAGGUCUCACAGUGCCUGUGUCCCCAUGUGUCCUAGUGUCUCAGUGUCCCCUAGUGUCUGUGUUCCCAUGUGUCCCCUAGUGUCUGUGUCCCCAUGUCCCCAAGUGUCUCAGUGUCCCCUAGUGUCUCAGUGUCCCCAUGUUUUGCAGUGUCCCCAAGUGUCUCAGUGUUCCCAGGUCUCCCAGUGUCUGUGUCCUAGUGUCUCAGUGUCCCCUAGUGUAUGUGUCAUCAUGUGUCCCCUAGUGUCUGUGUCCCUUUGUGUCUCAGUGUCCCCAUGUGUCCCCUAGUGUCUCAGUGUCCCCAUGUGUCCCUGCUGCCUUUCCCC
This is a non-coding RNA of Pelobates cultripes (western spadefoot toad), 1120 nucleotides long. NCBI's taxonomy places the organism in Eukaryota, Metazoa, Chordata, Amphibia, Anura, Pelobatidae. The record is from the annotation of a GenBank genome assembly.